This 1286-nucleotide ribosomal RNA is filed under the name Acanthosepion esculentum (golden cuttlefish). Its description in RNAcentral is "Sepia esculenta (golden cuttlefish) large subunit rRNA". The stretch from base 845 to 1286 matches the Rfam family "Bacterial large subunit ribosomal RNA", at positions 2048 to 2716 of the family's 2925-position model. The record is from RNAcentral. Lineage: Eukaryota; Metazoa; Mollusca; Cephalopoda; Sepiida; Sepiidae.
AAAGUUAAUUAUUAUUUUAUUUUAUGUAAAAAUUAUUUAAUUAAAUUGUUAUAUUGUAUUAGUAUUAGGUAUAGAAAUUUUAUUAUGUGUAGUACUGUAAAGGUUUAAGUUAAUUAAUAUUUAUUUAUUAGUAGAAUUUUAUGUUUGUACCUUUUGUAUAAUGGAUUGAUGAUAGAUUUAAUUGAAUUAAAAAGUCUCGAAAUAAAAGGAUUUACUUAAUAAAUAAUGUUAACGUGGUAAAGUUAUAUUUUUAUUAUUAGGUGGUAAUGAAAUGUUUUUCGUUUUUUGUGAUAGCUAGUUUAUAGGUUAUAGUAUAUUUUAGUAUUGUAGUGUUAAUAUUAUAAAUUAUAAUUUAAUAUUAUUUAUUUUAUAAGGGAUAAGCUUUAUAUGAUGUAGUAGAACCAGAUAUAUGUAUUAUAUAUAUUUAAGUAGAAUUAAAAUGUUUUUCUUAUAAAUAUUAUAUAAUUAUAUUAUUUAAUUUGAUCUGUUCAAGUUGAUAGGCCUAUAAAUGUUUAAUAAUUAUGAUAAAUACAUAUAAUGUUAAUAUGAGUAUUUUUAAAUAUAAAAUUAUUAUAUUUAUUUGGAGUUGUAUAUUUAUAUAAUAAUAUUUUUUGGUGAAAUAAAAUAAAGGAAUUCGGCAAAUAUAAAUCUCGCCUGUUUAUCAAAAACAUGUCUCUUUGUUUUAAUUAAAUAAAGAGUUGAGCCUGCUCGGUGAUUUAAGUUUAACAGCUGCGGUAUUUUAACUGUACUAAGGUAGCAUAAUAAUUUGCCUUAUAAAUUGAGGCUAGAAUGAAAGGUUUGACGAAGGUUUAUCUGUCUCUAUUUUAUUUAUUAGAAAUUAAUUUUUUAGUGAGAAAGCUAAAAUUUUUUAAAGGGACGAGAAGACCCUAUUGAGCUUAAAUUUAAAAGUACUAUAGUAAUUUUUUUAAUAUUUUGAUAAAUUUUAAUUGGGGUGAUUAAGGAAUAAAAGGAUAAUAAAUUGGUAACUUCCUUAAACUUAAUACUAUUAGGUUAAGUAACCAAUAAUAUUGCUUAUAAUAAAGUUACCAUAGGGAUAACAGCGUAAUUUACUUAGAGAGUUCUUAUUGAAAAGUGAGAUUGCGACCUCGAUGUUGGAUUAAAGUAACCUUAAGGUGCAGUAGCUUUAAAAGGUAAAUCUGUUCGAUUUUUAAAACUUUACAUGAUCUGAGUUCAGACCGGCGCAAGCCAGGUUGGUUUCUAUCUUUUAGAAUCUGAUAAUUUUUUUUUUAGUACGAAAGGACCAAAAAAAUUAAUAUGAUUAUUUU